AAUAAAAAAAUAAGAAGGGGGGAAAAAAACCCGGCCGGUGUCAUCCCCCCACGUCAGGGCCGGUGGUGGGCGUGAGGCUGUACUUCCUCCGCCCCCUCCUAAUGGAGCGAACCAUUCCCAGUCAGCCUUCCUCGCCCUCUCCCGCUGCCUCCCUCUUCCUCUCCUUCUCCUCUUGUCUCCCCCCCUUGUCUGCAAAGUCCUCCGCUGCUCGGAACUUGUUGGCAAUGUCUAUUUUUCAGCUUUCCCCCACGUUCUCCAAAGUAACUAUUUAAAGAUCUGCAGCCGCAAAUGGUUUUACUAAAUGUAGGAUGGGACUUAAGUUGAACGGCAGUUAUAUUUCUCUGAUCCUUGCUGUACAGAUAGCGUACCUGGUGCAGGCGGUGAGAGCGGCGGGGCGGUGCGAUGCGGUCUUUAGGGGCUUCUCGGAUUGUUUGCUGCGGCUGGGCGAUAACAUGGCCAACUACCCGCAGGACCUGGACGACAAGAGAAAUCUCCAAACGAUCUGCGCGUACUGGGAUGAUUUCCACGCCUGCACCCUCACAGCGCUCACCGAUUGCCAGGAAGGAGCGACAGACCUCUGGGAGAAAUUGAGACGGGAAUCCAAAAACCUCGAUUUCCAAGGCAGCUUAUUCGAACUGUGCGGAGGCGGCAGCGGCGCGGCACCGUCCGUCCUCCCGCCGGCCUUGCCCCUGCUCCUGGCGGCUCUGUGGGCUGCCCUAGUGACCUGGCUGCCUUUCUAGGGGGGCGAGCACACUCACACCCACACCCUCUCCAUGUGCUGGAUCUAUAGAGGAAGUGUCCAUCCGUUGCUUUGGGGACGUUGUGCUUUUCUGUGGUUGAUGAUGAUGAUGAUGGUGGUGGUGGUGGCUGAUGAUGGUGAAACACCUAUGUAGGACUGUGGAAGCGUUCUCCCUUUUUUUUUCUUCUUCUUUUUUUUCCCCCCCUUUUUUUUUUUUUUUUUUUUUUGUGUUUAUUUGCCAAAUCUUACCAAACAGGCAGCGGCACGCAGCCCAAAUCGGACCUCAGCUUUACUAUCGCUUCGAAUCAAAAAUAGAAAAAAAAAAUAUAAAGAAACAAACUCGAGCCCUCGUUGUGCAAACGCAAUCUCAGGAACGGCUCUGGGCCACCUACUGCUAAGGCUGUAACCGGCCGGGUACCUCCCGGCGAGCCACGGGCUCCGCUAAAAAUGCGGCAGUGUGCGAGGCGAGAACAAAAACCGCAGACAGGAAAAGGCACUGGCGAGAAAUCCAAGGUGCUGGAUGUCUCUUCAGAGAAACAACAUUGCUGCAGGGGACAAACAACUAGUCCUGACCUUCUUUACACAGCCAUUCUCUGGGAAAAAGUAUCCCCUGAAGUCAAUGUGCAUUCUGCCUAGCUUUUAUCAGGAGAAAAACGCCCGAAUUGAAAUGACACCAGCAAAUAAUAGGUGUUGGUGAUUUUCACUCUCUCCACCUAAAUCAGAUAUCUGGCACAUCAGUACUUAGAAGGCUUAGGAGAAGAAGAAAACAUCAAUAUUUCACUGAGCACAAAAAGUUGCACAACUCCCAAGACUUCAUUUUCAUGUCAGCUGUGGUUAGUUUGUAGUUUUUCUUUUUUUCUGUAAGAUGAGUGAUUUCCACUUCUUUUUGAAUCCCACCUGUGCAAAUAGCUUGUUUUUCUCCCUAGCAAGUGCUAACAAGGAACUGUGAGGGUUUUGCUCAGGCUCAGUAGUCAGGCAGUCCUGGGGUGGCUGACUUCUAGGAAAAGCCACAGCAGGAACAAACAAGAGCCAGCCUACGCACCAGGCACAGCUUUUGCUGGUCCUCAGCUCAUGUUCCAGCUCACACUCGUGGUAAAUAGCAAAGUUAGCAAAUGCACUGCAGACCAACGCCAGGAGGAUGGAUCCAGACCGGCUGGAUGCUUCAUCGUAGAGCUGCCCUUAGAAACUCUGGCCCAUUUUGAGGCAGCUUCACCCUCCUCACCAGAGCUGUGCCAGCUCACGGCAGUUUAGGACUUACUCUGCUCACUUUAGCCCGUGCAAUUUCAUCCUUUGUGUGAACCAGAUCAUGCAAAUGGGGGCACCGGAGUCACAGGGAAGUCGAGUUCCACACGAGUGCUGGCAUGAGAAGGAGCAGCAAUUAGCUCUAAAUUCACUCCACCAGCCUGUCAUUUCUGAGCUCUCCCCUGCUGCUCUGCAACUGGAAACCUUGCACUCCAGAAGAAGGGGAGAAGAACAUUUUGCUCAUGCUCAUAUUAAUCAAGUCAUCUUGUGAGCUGCUGAAUCUGUGAAAUUGUAUCUCCCAUGGAGUUCAGUGGUAAUGACUGUCUUCGAUGUGGACUCUCUGGUGUCUAAUAAUACAGUUAUAUUUCUGCAGUGGAUGCACUCCUGGCAUUUUUUUCUCCUCUGCCUGCCUACUUCCACAGCACUUGUAGGCACUUCAAACCUUUGAGACUUCUAUCCCCUGUCAAGUUUGAUCAAACUCAGUUCACAGGCUCAAAAAUUAUUUAGGAGGGACUGACUGGCACUUGCAUAGACAGUGUGAUCUCAUAAGCUUCCUUUCCUUAGGAAACUAGGCUACCAACCUAGCAACGAGGUGAAAAAAAGCCAUCCUGCUAGCAAAGAGGACCUAAACACCAGGAGGAAAGAGGGGAGGUGGGAGAGGAAAGUGAAGCUGUUUUGAAGGGAAAAAAAUCGUUGUGGUUGCAGAGCUCUCACAUACUCAAAGGGCCAGCCUUGGAGAGACAUGUAGGAGAAAAUAUUCUCCAGGAGAUGGAAAGUUCUCUCAUGAAAAUUGGUAAGGGAGAGAAAUGACCUGGAUUCAUCACACCACCUGGCAUGCUAAAUGGAUAUCUCUAUGGUAAGGAUCGUCUCUGGUGACACCUGUUUCUCCCUGUGGACUAGAGGAAGACACAGACACAAUUAGCAUGCAACCUGUAUGCCUGCAGUAUCUAAAGUGAGGUGUGUCCUAUCCCAAAGGGAAUGAUCUUCUUCCCGCUCUCUCCUUCAGACCAAAGUUUUCCAUGGUGCUGCUGCAAGGUUUAUUACUUCAUGUACUACAUUUGUAUUUUAGAAAAGCUGCUGUGUGUCUUAAUAGCUGCAGAUGUAUGCAUGGUUUUACUGGGCAUUUAUUAUCACUUAUCCUCUUUGCACUGAAACCUUUCCUGUCCUUGUAUCUUACGGAAUAAAAUUCUUUAAGUGAGCUUUAA
Catharus ustulatus (Swainson's thrush) is the source of this 3186-nucleotide RNA transcript. It is a transcript of the gene named neuritin 1, with no coding region annotated. The transcript has 6 exons. Lineage: Eukaryota; Metazoa; Chordata; Aves; Passeriformes; Turdidae. The record is from RefSeq and is a predicted model, not a curated record.